AAGGCGGUCGGGAUUCCACCACCAAAUUCACAGAAUACAACCCUCCGCGCUCAAGGGCAGACUCUUUCCGGUAUAUUACUAUUUUUUGUUAUCCUGCUAAAUGAACGCUGGGCACGCUUAAACACUGCAAGUUGGGCGGUAAGAGGGGCUUGGACCCUCUGGAGGAGCGCGGGAACGGGUAGUAAUGCCUAGGAAUUCUGCCUUGUAGUGGGGGUAUUACGUUUCGUUAUUUGAUUGCUUAUACUGCAUACGUCCUACCGGAGAAAAGCAGGGGACCUUCGGGCCCUUGCGCUAUCAGAUGAGCCUAGGUCGGAUUAGCUAGUUGGUGGGGUAAUGGCUCACCAAGGCGACGAUCCGUAACUGGUCUGAGAGGAUGAUCAGUCACACUGGAACUGAGACACGGUCCAGACUCCUACGGGAGGCAGCAGUGGGGAAUAUUGGACAAUGGGCGAAAGCCUGAUCCAGCCAUGCCGCGUGUGUGAAGAAGGUCUUCGGAUUGUAAAGCACUUUAAGUUGGGAGGAAGGGCAUUAACCUAAUACGUUAGUGUUUUGACGUUACCGACAGAAUAAGCACCGGCUAACUCUGUGCCAGCAGCCGCGGUAAUACAGAGGGUGCAAGACGUUAAUCGGAAUUACUGGGCGUAAAGCGCGCGUAGGUGGUUCGUUAAGUUGGAUGUGAAAUCCCCGGGCUCAACCUGGGAACUGCAUUCUAAAACUGUCGAGCUAGAGUAUGGUAGAGGGUGGUGGAAUUUCCUGUGUAGCGGUGAAAUGCGUAGAUAUAGGAAGGAACACCAGUGGCGAAGGCGACCACCUGGACUGAUACUGACACUGAGGUGCGAAAGCGUGGGGAGCAAACAGGAUUAGAUACCCUGGUAGUCCACGCCGUAAACGAUGUCAACUAGCCGUUGGGAGCCUUGAGCUC
This 922-nucleotide ribosomal RNA is filed under the name Pseudomonas fluorescens. RNAcentral describes it as "bacterial SSU rRNA". It matches the Rfam family "Bacterial small subunit ribosomal RNA", at positions 1 to 839 of the family's 1533-position model. Lineage: Bacteria; Pseudomonadati; Pseudomonadota; Gammaproteobacteria; Pseudomonadales; Pseudomonadaceae. The record is from RNAcentral.